This 123-nucleotide long non-coding RNA is filed under the name Callithrix jacchus (white-tufted-ear marmoset). Its description in RNAcentral is "lncRNA (ENSCJAG00000065958.2)". The record is from RNAcentral. Lineage: Eukaryota; Metazoa; Chordata; Mammalia; Primates; Cebidae.
AGCUAAAAGUCAAUUACUCCAGCAGAAGUUCUAAGGAACUCCUUUCGUUGCCCCAGGCUCUUGGAGAAGGCACAUGACGUCAAACACUGGAUAAUCCAUAGUAUGGUCCCCUCCAUAUUUUAA